AUGGAGGUUCCCAAGCUAGGGGGGUCGAAUUGGAGCUACAGGUGCAGGUCUAUGCCACAGCCACAGCAACUGGAGAUCCUUAACCCACUGAGUGAGGCUAGGGAUCAAGCCUGAAUCCUCAUGGAUACUAGUCAGGUUCUUAACCUGCUGAGCCACAACAGGAACUCCACUUUUGUCUGUUUCUGAACUUGGUAUACGUAGAACUAUUCAGCCAUCUGAGUGUGAGGAUUUCAGUUCUGUGUCACUGUGUGUUGCAAGUGAUUGUUUGAUUUCAUUGCUAAGUACACCACAAUAUAUUCAUCCAUUCCACCGCUAGUGGAAAUGUGGGUUGUUUCCAGCCUUUGGCUGCUAUCACUGGAUAGGUCUGAGCAGUUUUGUCCAUGACCUCAGUGCACAUGAGUAUGUGUUUCUGGAGUGCCCUGGUGGCUUAGCAGGAUCUAGUGUUUCACUGCUGUGGAUUGGGUUGGUGCUGUUGAGGGGGUUCAAUCCCUGGCCCGGGAACUUCCACAUGCUGCAGGUGUGGCUGGAAAAAAAAGAGAGUAUGUGUUUCAGUUGAGUGUGUGCAGAGGGGUCCAGAAAUGCUGGGCCAUAGGAUACACAAUGCUCAGCGCUUAACCCUGCCAAACAGCCUUCCAAAGUGACAGUACAAUUCGCACCCCUACUAGCCUGUGGAUGGCAGUUGCAGGUGAUCUACGUGCUCUCCUGCACUCAGUACUGUUAGCCUGUUCAUUUCAGCCACUCUGGUGGGUGUGUAGUGGUGUCUCCUGGGGGUUUCAGUUUAUAGUGCAGCUCAUAUUCACUGGCCACUCGUAUAAUCCCUUUUGUGAAGUGCCUGUCCAAAUCUUUGGCUUAUUUCUUCUAUUGGGUCAUUAAUGUUUUGUGGAAUAUUUUUUCAUGUAUUCUGGAUACAAGUCUCUUAUCAGGUUUAUGAUUUGUAAAUACCUUCUCCCACUCUUUUAGCUUGCUUUUCCACUUUCUUAAUGGUAUCUCUUUUAAGUUGCUUGGUUAAGACCAAUCUUAACCUUGGUCUUUAGUGCUUUUUGUACUGUAUUUGAGAAAAUUUGUUCACGUGAAAGAUCAUGAAAGUAUGCUUUUAUGCUACCUUUAGAAGUUUUCUUGUUUUAACUUUCUGCAUUUAGGUCUACAAUCAGCCUGAUUUAAUUUUUGUGGCUGGUAUGUGUGUGGGGGGGGUCAAAAUUCAUUUUUUAAAAUAUGAACAUAU
RNAcentral lists this long non-coding RNA (1222 nucleotides) under Sus scrofa (pig). Its description in RNAcentral is "lncRNA (ENSSSCG00005030231.1)". Lineage: Eukaryota; Metazoa; Chordata; Mammalia; Artiodactyla; Suidae. The record is from RNAcentral.